CGCGGAUCCAGGGUGAAGAAAGCGACCGGUCAACUCUAUCCUCAUCCUCAGCCGCCGCUCACACUCACCCGGAUCUUCCCCAAACCAACCUUGGCAACCCCAGAUCAAGCAUGUGAGCAGCCGCCGGCACACUCUGCCUCCUCCUCCUCGUUCUCCUCCCGCUCACAUCCUUUACCUCUAGCCUCCCCUUCCUCUCUACUCAAGUUUCUCACGAGCACAGCAAAGGCCCACGACAGAGGGCAGCCAGGCUAGCAAUGCAAAGCUGGCGACGGGUGGAGGCCGGCGACCACCCCAUCUUCUCUUGAUAUGGUCAGCGGUGGAGGAGGAGGGCGCAUCCAGCAGAGUCACCGCGACAUCAAGUGAUCCCCAGCUGCCAUCGAUCCAGCGCCAGGCUUGAAGAAGGAGGUCAAGGCCCCAAGGAUUGCAAAGGUAUUGAUGCUCAAGUGAUAUCACUACACCUAAAGAUACCAAGGAUGACAAAGUGAAGAUAUUGAAGAUGUGGGAUACGAAGUGGCUACUAUGGCAAGACGGUGAAGGGCAAGCGAUGCUCGGUCACGAUGGACCAUGCGGUGGUGAAGGGCAAGCAAGGGGCUUGGCGCGAAGAACAAAAUCCGGUGGUGAAGGGCGAGUGACGGCUUUGUCAUGAUGGACUGUGUGAGACCAUUUGAAGCUACAAGUAACCGCAUGCUUUGUUGCGGGAAAUAUGAUAGAUAUUGGAGAAAUGACAAAAUGAUUUGGAUUGAAAUAUUACGAAAUUGAUUUGAGAAUGAUGAUUUA
This is a non-coding RNA of Oryza sativa Japonica Group (Japanese rice), 777 nucleotides long. NCBI's taxonomy places the organism in Eukaryota, Viridiplantae, Streptophyta, Magnoliopsida, Poales, Poaceae. The record is from RefSeq and is a predicted model, not a curated record.